AUUGAACGCUGGCGGCAUGCCUAACACAUGCCAGUCGAACGGUAACAGGUUAAGCUGACGCGUGUCGAGCGGGCGAGUAAUGUAUCGGAACGUGCUCAAUCGUGGUGUAUAAUUUCUCGAAAGAGCAGCUAAUACCGCAUACGACCUGAGGGCGAAAGCGGUGGAUCGCAAGACCUCGCGCGUUUGGAGCGGGCGAUAUCAGAUUAGGUAGUUGGUGAGGUAAAGGCUCACCAAGCCGACGAUCUGUAGCUGGUCUGAGAGGACGACCAGCCACACUGGGACUGAGACACGGCCCAGACUCCUACGGGUGGCAGCAGUGGGGAAUUUUGGACAAUGGGCGCAAGCCUGAUCCAGCCAUGCCGCGUGCGGGAAGAAGGCCUUCGGGUUGUAAACCGCUUUUGUCAGGGAAGAAAAGGUUCUGGCUAAUACCUGGGACUCAUGACGGUACCUGAAGAAUAAGCACCGGCUAACUACGUG
This 477-nucleotide ribosomal RNA is filed under the name uncultured bacterium. Its description in RNAcentral is "partial 16S ribosomal RNA". It matches the Rfam family "Bacterial small subunit ribosomal RNA", at positions 30 to 507 of the family's 1533-position model. The record is from RNAcentral.